RNAcentral lists this ribosomal RNA (253 nucleotides) under uncultured bacterium. Its description in RNAcentral is "partial 16S ribosomal RNA". It matches the Rfam family "Bacterial small subunit ribosomal RNA", at positions 524 to 776 of the family's 1533-position model. The record is from RNAcentral.
UACGUAGGGUGCAAGCGUUGUCCGGAAUUAUUGGGCGUAAAGAGCUCGUAGGCGGUUUGUCACGUCGGAUGUGAAAACUCGGGGCUCAACCCCGAGCCUGCAUUCGAUACGGGCAGACUUGAGUUCGGCAGGGGAGACUGGAAUUCCUGGUGUAGCGGUGAAAUGCGCAGAUAUCAGGAGGAACACCGGUGGCGAAGGCGGGUCUCUGGGCCGAUACUGACGCUGAUGCGCGAAAGCUAGGGGAGCAAACGGG